This is a long non-coding RNA of Talpa occidentalis (Iberian mole), 1035 nucleotides long. RefSeq lists it as uncharacterized. The record is from RefSeq and is a predicted model, not a curated record. Lineage: Eukaryota; Metazoa; Chordata; Mammalia; Eulipotyphla; Talpidae. The transcript is spliced from 5 exons.
CUGCACCAGCUUUUGAAGAUUCGAUGAAGCCCUAAUGCCAACUCUUACAAGGAAUUAACUUCUGAAGAAAAGAUAUCUUAGAAGCAAAAGACAAAUGAUUAAUCCAUAAAUGGAAGGGAACAGAUUGAAAGUGAUCGAUGCAAGCAGACUCUCCUGUGGACAAAUUGCAGGGCAACCAUCUACAUUUCCCCAGACUGCAAAAAUGGAGCCCGUCUAGACAGUUCCUACUUCAUGGUUCUCUGCUAUGGCAACUCAAAUGGACAAAGUCACCCACUGAAUUUCAUGGUGCAGUGUCAAGUUAGUACUGGUUUCUGCAGCUUUAAAGAGAAGACCACACCACACUAGGAAGGGAUAUUUAGGAAAUAAUCCAAGUAGGACUUUCUUGCUUAAAGGGGAAGAAAAUGAGGCUUUCUCCAUGAAGGACCUGCCAGUCAUCCAUCAAGCCUGGAAGGGCACAGAAUAACAUUGCUUGAGACUAGAGGCCCCACCAGCUGAAAAUAAAACAAAUUAUGUUCCAAAUCUGGUUUUGAAAUGAGGAGUGAAGAGGCUCCACUUUGAAAAUAAUCACAUCCACUGCAUCUUCAUCCUCCAAAUGAGAACUCUUACAUUUUAGUUAGUCAGUGUGCGAUGUUUCUUUUAUUUCUGUUCUCAAAGUCUUGACAUCACUAAAAAUAAAUGACUCAAUUACACUUGUGCAUAAGCAGCUGGAAAACUACCAAAAUCUUCCCAAUCUCUAAACUGUGUAAACAGAGACACCAGAAGGGGCAAAAAAGAGAAAAAGGAAACAAAAGUGAAGAGAACAAGAGAAAUUUAAAAAUAAGAAGUUACACAAAAGAAGCUCCCAAGGAAAAGAGUAGGGUGUUAAUUCCAUUUCUUUGUUCCUGGUGGCACGCUGCAGUCCAUAGGCCUUUGGAUUCAGGAAGCAAACCAGGUGGAAAAAAAGAAUCAAGAAGCUUUAUAAACACCUUGCAAAUAAACGUGGCCAGCCAAUCUACAUUCCAGCACUCAUCCGGGGAAGUGUUGGCAGCUUCCUGG